AGUCUGCAACUCGACUGCACGAAGUCGGAAUUGCUAGUAAUCGCGGAUCAGCAUGCCGCGGUGAAUACGUUCCCGGGCCUUGUACACACCGCCCGUCACACCAUGAGAGUCGGGAACACCCGAAGUCCGUAGUCUAACCGCAAGGAGGACGCGGCCGAAGGUGGGCUUGAUAAUUGGGGUGAAGUCGUAACAAGGUAUC
This 199-nucleotide ribosomal RNA is filed under the name uncultured bacterium. Its description in RNAcentral is "partial 16S ribosomal RNA". It matches the Rfam family "Bacterial small subunit ribosomal RNA", at positions 1302 to 1500 of the family's 1533-position model. The record is from RNAcentral.